GGGGCUGUAGCUCAGUGGGCACAGCUCCUGCUUUGCAUGCAGGAGACUCUUGGUUUAAACACUGGCAAUUCUA
This is a non-coding RNA of Podarcis lilfordi (Lilford's wall lizard), 73 nucleotides long. Lineage: Eukaryota; Metazoa; Chordata; Lepidosauria; Squamata; Lacertidae. The record is from the annotation of a GenBank genome assembly.